AUCUAAUUCAGCUAACUUAGUGACUAAUAGUAACUCUCUUACCAACGCUUCUUUGUGGAGUAUUUCAUUAUCAUAAACCUGUUUUUGUAUUCUUAUAACCAUCUGAUAAGUCCAAUAUCUUUUCACUACCAGUGUGAGUUUGCUCUCGAACUUUUAAUUGAAAAAUUUAAAAUAAAGGAGAGCACAAUGACAAAAUCAACAAACUGGUGGGUUAGCUGUCAGAAGACAUUAAAGUUUGAUCAUUUUUUAAUGAAUUAA
This 258-nucleotide unclassified non-coding RNA is filed under the name Moritella viscosa. RNAcentral's name for it is "putative sRNA". Lineage: Bacteria; Pseudomonadati; Pseudomonadota; Gammaproteobacteria; Alteromonadales; Moritellaceae. The record is from RNAcentral.